AAGCCGACGAUAUGGAUCCCACCACCGGACCAGCAUGUGAAAGUGAAUGUUGACGCUGCAGUAGCAAGACAUGGGGGCCUUGGGGCGGCCGCAGCCAUUUGUCGGGACAGCACAGGGAUCUACCAGGGGGCGUCCAUGGUAGUCUUCAGAAAUAUCGACGAUCCAGCAGUACUGGAGACCUUGGCGAUCCGGGAAGCUUUGUCUCUAUCUGAUGAUCUUUAUGUCCACAAAAUUGCUGUUGCUUCGGACUGCAAACAGGUAGUGGAAGCUAUCAAGACGGGUACAUCGGCAUCCUAUGGAGCAAUUGUACAUGAAAUAGUUGAACGAUCGAAGUCUUUUUCUUCUUGUAGGAUUAGCCAUGAAUUUACAACCUCUAAUGUAGAGGCUCACAAGCUCGCAAAGCACGCUUUAACGCUGGGUAUCGGCCGCCAUGCUUGGUUAGGUCUAUCCGGAGAUCUUGUUUUCGUCCCUGUAAAUAUUGUGACGGAUGAAUAA
This 495-nucleotide ribosomal RNA is filed under the name Triticum aestivum (bread wheat). RNAcentral describes it as "partial small subunit ribosomal RNA". The record is from RNAcentral. Lineage: Eukaryota; Viridiplantae; Streptophyta; Magnoliopsida; Poales; Poaceae.